This 693-nucleotide ribosomal RNA is filed under the name Triticum aestivum (bread wheat). RNAcentral's name for it is "partial small subunit ribosomal RNA". The record is from RNAcentral. Lineage: Eukaryota; Viridiplantae; Streptophyta; Magnoliopsida; Poales; Poaceae.
AUGUCAUUCAGCACGAUGGAGCUGAUCAGCACCUCCGUCUUGGCACCAUUGGUGGAAAAGGUUUCGUGGCACUGCUACUACUUGGGGCCGUAUAUUGUGUUUGGUCUUUGGGGCAUCAACAAGCUGCGGCUGCAGACGGCAGACAGACAACAACAGAUAUUAUCCUCGCUGCAAAUUCAUGCCUGGGCGGACACGUCGCUUUUGCACGCCGAGGCGGGCAACUUCGCGCAGGAGAUAGAGAAACAUAUGGUUGCCGCCUUCUCUGUUUUAGAGCUGCAUCUCACGGCAAAGGGGCAUGCUUUUGGAGGGUUUGUGUUUCAUCUCCUUGGGAUGGAUCGGAUUCGUACCGCUACGCGGAGGCUUAAGCUCGUCCUAGAGAGAUCAUCGAUGAAAGGAGGAUGCCUGCCACUUUGUCCUUGUGAGUUUCCGAACUGGAAUUCCCAAAUUAUCUGCUUGGCUGCUCUUGAAGAAGUGGAGUUCAAUGGCUUCGAAGGAAAGGAUCAUGAGUUUGAUUUACUGAAAUUGAUACUCGGAUGUGCACCGAUGCUAAAAAGAAUUAUUGUGAAGCUGUCACAAGAGACCUUGGCAAGUAAUGAUGGAUGCACAAAGAUAUACAACAUCUUCAAGGCAUGUUCUUCUGUGGAAUGUGAUGUUUAUGACAUCUCUGGGUUAAUGUUUGGUUGCUUCAACUGA